ACUACUUGUACAGAAGAUAAUGUCUGAUGUGGCAUUAGGUAUGAUCUUCAAAAGAUCAACCAUAAGAAGCUUGAGUGGUAAUGGAGUCUCACUUUUUUAUGACUGCAUAUUCAGUGCAUCAACGUGACACAUUAUUAUGAAAUUAUUUACUAAUUAUUGUGAUCCACUACACUUGAAACGGGCUAUUUUGAAAAAGUUAAUUUACGAUCUGGCAAAAAAUAGUUCCUGGAAAGCCAAUGACCUGCUGUUCAUUCUUCAAUUUCUGCAAUGAAUGCCUUAUUGCUCAAUUGUCUUUAUUUAGGUUUGAAGUAUAAAUAAAUAUGAGCCCAG
This 330-nucleotide unclassified non-coding RNA is filed under the name Hevea brasiliensis (rubber tree). Lineage: Eukaryota; Viridiplantae; Streptophyta; Magnoliopsida; Malpighiales; Euphorbiaceae. The record is from RNAcentral.